RNAcentral lists this ribosomal RNA (279 nucleotides) under uncultured bacterium. RNAcentral describes it as "partial 16S ribosomal RNA". It matches the Rfam family "Bacterial small subunit ribosomal RNA", at positions 506 to 784 of the family's 1533-position model. The record is from RNAcentral.
UGCCAGCAGCCGCGGUAAUACGGAGGGUCCGAGCGUUGUCCGGAAUUAUUGGGUUUAAAGGGUGCGUAGGCGGUUUAAUCAGUCAGGUGUGAAAGCCCGGGGCUCAACCCCGGAUGGUCACUUGAAACAGCAAGACUUGAGUACUGGAGAGGAAAGCGGAAUUCCUGGUGUAGAGGUGAAAUUCGUAGAUAUCAGGAGGAACACCGAUGGCGAAGGCAGCUUUCUGGACAGAUACUGACGCUGAGGCGCGAAGGCGUGGGUAGCGAACGGGAUUAGAUA